UUAAAACAGAAAGUAAAGUUGUAUUAUUUAGCAUGUGAAUAGAAUGUAGCAUAAGUUUUGCCAAAGGUUUUAUGUGUUUACAAUGGUUGUUGAAACUACUAUUUAUAGUUAUACCUAGAAAAGAGGAUUCUAGGAUCAAACCCUCUUAAAUGACAAUAAAAGGGGUCAUUGAUGAAUGUGUAAAGGUAGGCCAUGAAUGUCAAAUUUUUAUGCAACAUCUGCUUAUUUAAUACUAGAAAAUAUUCUUCAUUAAAUGUCAUCUGGUGACAAACACUCGAUCUGCUCCCGCUGAUUAUGCUCCAUUCAGGAUCUAUCCGAUAUCAACUACAGUUGUUGACCCGAGUUUUGAUUCUUACUUUAUUUGUCUUCCGAGUGUCUCUAAUUCCACGUGUCAUGCUACCAUUCGGUCAUUUAAUAUAGAUCUAUUUUAUCCUAUACAGAUAGUCUCCCUAUUUUCCGGUGGCACAUCUUUAUGUCAUCGGGAAGUUGGUGAAGAUCCCUUUCUUAGCAAAAAAGAUUUUGAAACCUUCUAAGCAGUCCCUGACGCUUGAUAAGACGUAUAUCUCUUUGCAUUUGAUACCUAGAACACGUAUUUCCCCACGAUUCAGUAAUAUUUUCACCAAUUCUCGAGGUAAUCAUGGUCAUAAUUUCUAUCAUUUAUAUCUUUACUUAUACUAAUCAUCUUACCUCUUUCACUUCCAAAGCCCUUAUAAGAUCAUUACCUUCUUUGCUCUUAGCCUUCUUCUGCUUUCCUCUCUUUCCAGCCUUCUUCAAAACUUGGUCACCUUCUUGCUAUUAUAGCUUCUUUCAAUAAUCUCUUGAAAAAUCUAGGCUUCUCUUCGGUAGAGGCCCGAAGAGAAGAAAAGAUAAGGAGGUUGAUGUUGAUGCUGAUACCCCUACAGUAAGCCACUAUAACAAAAAGGGUAUUUAUUGGUAAUUAAAAAUGGUUUUAGCGGCAAUAACAAUAGCCGCUAUAGCUUUUACCGGCCAUUGGUGUUUAGCCGUUGAUGUUGGCGUCGUUAAAG
Molecule: long non-coding RNA, 1025 nt
Filed under: Nicotiana benthamiana
Lineage: Eukaryota; Viridiplantae; Streptophyta; Magnoliopsida; Solanales; Solanaceae
Description: long non-coding RNA (NBEN_LNC039830)
Source: RNAcentral